AGGACGAACGCUGGCGGCGUGCUUAACACAUGCAAGUCGAGCGGAAAGGCCCCUUCGGGGGUACUCGAGCGGCGAACGGGUGAGUAACACGUGAGCAACCUGCCCCCGACUCUGGGAUAAGCCUGGGAAACUGGGUCUAAUACCGGAUGUUACUACUGGCCGCAUGGUCUGGUAGUGGAAAGUUUUCGGUUGGGAUGGGCUCGCGGCCUAUCAGCUUGUUGGUGGGGUGGUGGCCUACCAAGGCGACGAC
Molecule: ribosomal RNA, 250 nt
Filed under: uncultured bacterium
Lineage: Bacteria
Description: partial small subunit ribosomal RNA
Rfam family: Bacterial small subunit ribosomal RNA
Source: RNAcentral